This 85-nucleotide transfer RNA is filed under the name Promethearchaeota archaeon. RNAcentral describes it as "Candidatus Lokiarchaeota archaeon (microbial mat metagenome) tRNA-Ser". It matches the Rfam family "tRNA". From Rfam's summary of the family: Transfer RNA (tRNA) molecules are approximately 80 nucleotides in length. Their secondary structure includes four short double-helical elements and three loops (D, anti-codon, and T loops). Lineage: Archaea; Promethearchaeati; Promethearchaeota. The record is from RNAcentral.
GCCGGGAUAGCCAAGCGGAUUACGGCGCAGGCUUGGAGAGCCUGUAACACUGUGUGUUGCGUGAGUUCGAAUCUCACUCCCGGCG